GAUGAACGCUGGCGGCGUGCUUAACACAUGCAAGUCGAACGGAAAGGCCCAAGCUUGCUUGGGUACUCGAGUGGCGAACGGGUGAGUAACACGUGGGUGAUCUGCCCCGCACUUCGGGAUAAGCCUGGGAAACUGGGUCUAAUACCGGAUAGGACAGUGGUUUGGAUGCCAUUGUGGAAAGUUUUUUCGGGGUGGGAUGAGCUCGCGGCCUAUCAGCUUGUUGGUGGGGUAAGGGCCUACCAAGGCGUCGACGGGUAGCCGGCCUGGGAGGGUGUACGGCCACAUUGGGACUGAGAUACGGCCCAGACUCCUACGGGAGGCAGCAGUGGGGAAUAUUGCACAAUGGGCGCAAGCCUGAUGCAGCGACGCCGCGUGGGGGAUGACGGCCUUCGGGUUGUAAACUCCUUUCGCUAGGGACGAAGCGUUAUGUGACGGUACCUAGAGAAGAAGCACCGGCUAACUACGUG
RNAcentral lists this ribosomal RNA (467 nucleotides) under uncultured bacterium. RNAcentral describes it as "partial 16S ribosomal RNA". It matches the Rfam family "Bacterial small subunit ribosomal RNA", at positions 28 to 507 of the family's 1533-position model. The record is from RNAcentral.